This 429-nucleotide ribosomal RNA is filed under the name Pseudomonadota bacterium. RNAcentral's name for it is "Proteobacteria bacterium partial 16S ribosomal RNA". It matches the Rfam family "Bacterial small subunit ribosomal RNA", at positions 355 to 776 of the family's 1533-position model. Lineage: Bacteria; Pseudomonadati; Pseudomonadota. The record is from RNAcentral.
UGGGGAAUAUUGGACAAUGGGCGAAAGCCUGAUCCAGCCAUGCCGCGUGUGUGAAGAAGGUCUUCGGAUUGUAAAGCACUUUAAGUUGGGAGGAAGGGCAGUAAGCGAAUACCUUGCUGUUUUGACGUUACCGACAGAAUAAGCACCGGCUAACUCUGUGCCAGCAGCCGCGGUAAUACAGAGGGUGCAAGCGUUAAUCGGAAUUACUGGGCGUAAAGCGCGCGUAGGUGGUUCGUUAAGUUGAAUGUGAAAGCUCCGGGCUCAACCUGGGAACUGCAUCCAAAACUGGCGAGCUAGAGUAGGGCAGAGGGUGGUGGAAUUUCCUGUGUAGCGGUGAAAUGCGUAGAUAUAGGAAGGAACACCAGUGGCGAAGGCGACCACCUGGGCUCAUACUGACACUGAGGUGCGAAAGCGUGGGGAGCAAACAGG